This 76-nucleotide microRNA precursor is filed under the name Callithrix jacchus (white-tufted-ear marmoset). RNAcentral's name for it is "mir-320 microRNA precursor family". It matches the Rfam family "mir-320 microRNA precursor family". RNAcentral also lists the same sequence under 1 other name. Lineage: Eukaryota; Metazoa; Chordata; Mammalia; Primates; Cebidae. The record is from Rfam by way of RNAcentral.
ACAAAAAUUGGCCUUCUCUUUCCGGUUCUUCCCGGAGUCGGGAAAAGCUGGGUUGAGGGGGCGAAAAACAAAAAAA